This 390-nucleotide ribosomal RNA is filed under the name uncultured bacterium. RNAcentral's name for it is "bacterial SSU rRNA". It matches the Rfam family "Bacterial small subunit ribosomal RNA", at positions 28 to 410 of the family's 1533-position model. The record is from RNAcentral.
GACGAACGCUGGCGGCGUGCUUAACACAUGCAAGUGGAGCGACGAACCGGGGCUUGCCCCGGGGCAGAGCCGCGAACGGGUGAGUAACACGUGGGUAACCUGCCUCAAUGAUUGGGACAACCCGGGGAAACUCGGGCUAAUACCAAAUGUGUUCACUCCUUCUAAGGGGGAGUGAGGAAAGGAAGCUUCGGCCUCCGCAUUGAGAUGGGGCCCGCGGCCCAUUAGCUUGUUGGUGAGGUAACGGCUCACCAAGGCUUCGAUGGGUAGCUGGUCUGAGAGGACGAUCAGCCACACUGGGACUGAGACACGGCCCAGACUCCUACGGGAGGCAGCAGUGGGAAUCUUGCACAAUGCGCGAAAGCGUGAUGCAGCAACGCCGCGUGGGGGAAA